GUAAUGGCAGGUCAGCAUACUGCCGUGAAUACGUUCCCGGGCCUUGUACACACCGCCCGUCACACCAUGAGAGUUGGGGAUACCCGAAGCCUGUGGGCUAACUUAACGGAGGCAGCAGUCGAAGGUAGAAUCAAUGAUUGGGGUGAAGUCGUAACAAGGUACC
RNAcentral lists this ribosomal RNA (163 nucleotides) under uncultured bacterium. RNAcentral's name for it is "partial 16S ribosomal RNA". It matches the Rfam family "Bacterial small subunit ribosomal RNA", at positions 1338 to 1500 of the family's 1533-position model. The record is from RNAcentral.